UGCGGGGUCGUCUAAUUGGUAAGACGCACGUCUGUCAAACGGAGAGAUGCGGGUUCGAAUCCCGCCCCCGCAA
RNAcentral lists this transfer RNA (73 nucleotides) under Elusimicrobiota bacterium. Its description in RNAcentral is "Elusimicrobia bacterium tRNA-Asp". It matches the Rfam family "tRNA". From Rfam's summary of the family: Transfer RNA (tRNA) molecules are approximately 80 nucleotides in length. Their secondary structure includes four short double-helical elements and three loops (D, anti-codon, and T loops). Further hydrogen bonds mediate the characteristic L-shaped molecular structure. tRNAs have two regions of fundamental functional importance: the anti-codon, which is responsible for specific mRNA codon recognition, and the 3' end, to which the tRNAs corresponding amino acid is attached (by aminoacyl-tRNA synthetases). tRNAs cope with the degeneracy of the genetic code in two manners: having more than one tRNA (with a specific anti-codon) for a particular amino acid; and 'wobble' base-pairing, i.e. permitting non-standard base-pairing at the 3rd anti-codon position. Lineage: Bacteria; Pseudomonadati; Elusimicrobiota. The record is from RNAcentral.